This 869-nucleotide ribosomal RNA is filed under the name Agaricus edmondoi. RNAcentral describes it as "eukaryotic LSU rRNA". It matches the Rfam family "Eukaryotic large subunit ribosomal RNA", at positions 72 to 928 of the family's 3401-position model. Lineage: Eukaryota; Fungi; Basidiomycota; Agaricomycetes; Agaricales; Agaricaceae. The record is from RNAcentral.
GGAUUCCCCUAGUAACUGCGAGUGAAGCGGGAAAAGCUCAAAUUUAAAAUCUGGCAGUCUCUGGCUGUCCGAGUUGUAAUCUAGAGAAGUAAUGCCCGUGCUGGACCGUGUAUAAGUCUCCUGGGAUGGGGCGUCAUAGAGGGUGAGAAUCCCGUCUUUGACACGGACUACCAGUGCAUUGUGGUAUGCUCUCAAAGAGUCGAGUUGUUUGGGAAUGCAGCUCAAAAUGGGUGGUAAAUUCCAUCUAAAGCUAAAUAUUGGCGAGAGACCGAUAGCGAACAAGUACCGUGAGGGAAAGAUGAAAAGAACUUUGGAAAGAGAGUUAAACAGUACGUGAAAUUGCUGAAAGGGAAACGCUUGAAGUCAGUCGCGUUGGCCGGGAAUCAGCCUUGCUUUUGCACGGUGUACUUUCUGGUUGACGGGUCAGCAUCAAUUUUGAUCGCUGGAAAAAGGCCUGGGGAAUGUGGCAGCUUCGGCUGUGUUAUAGCCCCUAGUCGCAUACAGUGGUUGGGAUUGAGGAACUCAGCACGCCGCAAGGCCGGGUUUCGACCACGUUCGUGCUUAGGAUGCUGGCAUAAUGGCUUUAAGCGACCCGUCUUGAAACACGGACCAAGGAGUCUAACAUGCCUGCGAGUAUUUGGGUGGAAAACCCAAGUGCGUAAUGAAAGUGAAAGUUGAGAUCCCUGUCGUGGGGAGCAUCGACGCCCGGACCAGAACUUUUGGGACGGAUCCGCGGUGGAGCAUGUAUGUUGGGACCCGAAAGAUGGUGAACUAUGCCUGAAUAGGGUGAAGCCAGAGGAAACUCUGGUGGAGGCUCGUAGCGAUUCUGACGUGCAAAUCGAUCGUCAAAUUUGGGUAUAGGGGCGAAA